UGGCAUGAUGAACUCUUCUGGAAUCUCGUUCGGCUGAAUGUCAGUGUUGAGAAGCGGAAUCUGAGAAUC
Varanus komodoensis (Komodo dragon) is the source of this 69-nucleotide small nucleolar RNA. Its record names the gene SNORD30. It matches the Rfam family "Small nucleolar RNA SNORD30". Rfam says of the family: U30 is a member of the C/D class of snoRNA which contain the C (UGAUGA) and D (CUGA) box motifs. U30 is encoded within the U22 snoRNA host gene (UHG) in mammals and is thought to act as a 2'-O-ribose methylation guide for ribosomal RNA. Lineage: Eukaryota; Metazoa; Chordata; Lepidosauria; Squamata; Varanidae. The record is from Ensembl.